RNAcentral lists this long non-coding RNA (1531 nucleotides) under Homo sapiens (human). RNAcentral's name for it is "HSALNT0378274". Lineage: Eukaryota; Metazoa; Chordata; Mammalia; Primates; Hominidae. The record is from RNAcentral.
GCUACCUGCUCAGGAAGGAAGUGCGAUGGUUCAUUUUAGGUGUCAACUUGACUGAAUUCAGGAAUACCUAGCAACUUAGUAAAGCAUGAUUUUGGGGUGUGUUUGUGGGGGUGUUAUCAGAGGAGAUUAGAUAUGAGUCUGAAGGAUUAGAUGGAGAAGAUCUGCCCUCAAUGUUGGCAUGAACCAUCCAAUCUACUGGGGGCUGGGAGAAAACAAAAAUAGAGAAAAAGUGAGUCUGUUAAUUUUGCUGCUGGGGCUGGGAUAACUUCUUCCUCUCCUAUUCUAGGACAAUAACUCCGGGCUCCCCAGCCUUUGGACUCCAGUGCUUAACAAGAAGGCCCCUUCAGGAUUCUCAGACCUUUGGUUUUGGACUGAGAAAUACACCAUUGGCUUUCCUGGUUCUGAGGCUUUUGGUCUUGGACUGAGCCACGCCGUCAGCAUCCCAGGGUUUGCAGCUUGCAGAUCGCCUGUCAUGGGACUUCUCAGCCUCCGUAAUCACGUGUUGCCGUAAGUCUACUGAGCUCUCUGGGUGUCUAACCUUGCCUUCUUGUCAUCAGCUAUUAAAACUACUAAAACAGAAGAAUGCUUAACCACUACAGCUGUUAAAACAUUAGUACGUGCUUUGCACUUCGGGUUUCAGGAUCGAGAACAUCCUGGAAAUAAGAGCGGAAGCAGAAAAGCCAGCAGAGCAGGCCAUCACAAUAGACGUGGCGUGAGAUGUCAUGGAACUGGAGCAGUUAAACCUCAUUCUCCAGGGUACUGGUGCUACUGCCAAGAGCGGAAAACUUUCAUCUUCCAAAACCUCAAUCAGCCAGUUUCUCAUCUGCAUCCCAUAAAUCAUCAAGAAAGAACAAGCUCAUUAUCUCAGCACCAGGGACAAAAGUCUUUUACAUGACACUGAACUUCUGACUACUGCAAAACAUGGCAGCUUGCCAUCAUAUGUUUAACAGGUGUGUUGGUCCCUUUAACAGACUGGGCCAGAAGUUUGAGGAUAUGGUCUGAAAUUUCAAUUUUGUUACGUGUUGUGACUUGCACUGGGCCCAAAUCCAGAGGUAAUUGGGCCUAGUGGUCUGAAGAGUUACUUGGGUGUUCUGUAAUUUUAGUAGAUUUGGAGAAAGAGAGGUGGGGAUGUCUGUCCCUGAAGAUAUUUUCUCAUAGAAGCAAGGAAUUACAGGAACUUCUCUGUUGUGUUUUGGGUAAGUGUUUCCAUGCUGCUACUCUGAAUAAUAGGGUAGAUAUUUCCAGGUACAGGCUGUUAAAAUUUGCUAUAUUACCUCCAUUCUGUAUGUAGUUCCUUCUCUACAUAACAGUGUUGGUUAGGUAGUGGAACCUUCUAAAUGACGCACUAUGUGAUUCCUGUGUCAUAUAGAAUGUUCUAUGAUUCUUAGCCAGAUAAUCAUAUUCCCAGAAAAGGCCUCUCAACUUUCACCUGCCUUUCUAAGGACUGAAAUACUCUGAGUGUUGCAUAAAGGGUGUUCCAAAUAUGGGCAUUCACCUGUUUCCUGAUUAAAAAAAGAUAAUUUGGUAUGAA